AUGACAGCGCAAGACCCCAUCUCAAAAAAGAAGAAAAACUUGUCAAUACAGAAUAUCGUCUCUCCAGGUGGGGGUGGGAGGUGUCAGCUUAAGCAUACCUGCAGUAGGAAGAUAUCGUAAGAAAAACCACCCUAAGAGAAUCUUGUAUGUACAGCAUGUGGUAGGCAAGUUGGUGGUGAAUGGAGAACGGUGUGCGUUCUCGGGCCCCUCUCUCAUUGGCUUAUUGUCCCUCCUGUCCAGGAAAAGAAAGAAAUACAUUUGGUUGAGGGGACUUAUCUCUAACAGCAGCCUCUUGUUGAUCUUCCCAGACAAACCCCCCACACCACCGCCCCCCUGGGCUGGACCUCUCUCUACAGCUAGGAGCCAAUGGCAGAUGACAAAACUAAACCAAGUGAGCUGGACCAAGCGAAAUAGGAUGCUGAUGACAACGUGAAGAUCAUCCACCUGGGAGACAGCGCAGUGGGCAAAUCCGAACUCAUGGAGCGAUUUCUCAUGGAUGGAUUACAGCCACAGC
This is a long non-coding RNA of Sapajus apella (tufted capuchin), 514 nucleotides long. RefSeq lists it as uncharacterized. Lineage: Eukaryota; Metazoa; Chordata; Mammalia; Primates; Cebidae. The transcript is spliced from 3 exons. The record is from RefSeq and is a predicted model, not a curated record.